RNAcentral lists this unclassified non-coding RNA (88 nucleotides) under Pseudomonas sp. OV546. Lineage: Bacteria; Pseudomonadati; Pseudomonadota; Gammaproteobacteria; Pseudomonadales; Pseudomonadaceae. The record is from RNAcentral.
UGUGGGAGGGGGCUUGCCCCCGAUGCCGGUGUGUCAGCUGCAGAUUGCUGACUGAUACACCGCUAUCGGGGGCAAGCCCCCUCCCACA